UACGUAGGCAGCAAGCGUUGUUCGGAGUUACUGGGCGUAAAGAGUAUGUAGGCGGUUGCGUAAGUUCGGUGUGAAAUCUCCCGGCUUAACUGGGAGGGUGCGCCGAAAACUGCGUGGCUUGAGUGCGGGAGAGGAGAGCGGAAUUCCUGGUGUAGCGGUGAAAUGCGUAGAUAUCAGGAGGAACACCGGCGGCGAAGGCGGCAUCCUGGACCAACACUGACGCUGAGUGAGCGAAAGCCAGGGGAGCAAACGGG
This 254-nucleotide ribosomal RNA is filed under the name uncultured bacterium. Its description in RNAcentral is "partial 16S ribosomal RNA". It matches the Rfam family "Bacterial small subunit ribosomal RNA", at positions 524 to 776 of the family's 1533-position model. The record is from RNAcentral.